RNAcentral lists this ribosomal RNA (301 nucleotides) under uncultured bacterium. Its description in RNAcentral is "partial 16S ribosomal RNA". It matches the Rfam family "Bacterial small subunit ribosomal RNA", at positions 509 to 809 of the family's 1533-position model. The record is from RNAcentral.
CAGCAGCCACGGUAAUACGUAGGUGGCGAGCGUUGUCCGGAAUUAUUGGGCGUAAAGGGAGCGCAGGCGGACAUAUAAGUCCAUCUUAAAAGUGCGGGGCUCAACCCCGUGAGGGGAUGGAAACUGUAUGCCUUGAGUGCAGGAGAGGAAAGCGGAAUUCCCAGUGUAGCGGUGAAAUGCGUAGAUAUUGGGAGGAACACCAGUGGCGAAGGCGGCUUUCUGGACUGUAACUGACGCUGAGGCUCGAAAGCCAGGGGAGCGAACGGGAUUAGAUACCCCCGUAGUCCCUGUCUCUUAUACA